UACGUAGGGCGCAAGCGUUGUCCGGAAUUAUUGGGCGUAAAGAGCUCGUAGGCGGCCUGUUGCGUCCGCUGUGAAAACCCGGGGCUUAACCCCGGGCUUGCAGUGGAUACGGGCAGGCUGGAGGCAGGCAGGGGAGAACGGAAUUCCCGGUGUAGCGGUGAAAUGCGCAGAUAUCGGGAGGAACACCGGUGGCGAAGGCGGUUCUCUGGGCCUGUACUGACGCUGAGGAGCGAAAGCGUGGGUAGCAAACAGG
This 253-nucleotide ribosomal RNA is filed under the name uncultured bacterium. Its description in RNAcentral is "partial 16S ribosomal RNA". It matches the Rfam family "Bacterial small subunit ribosomal RNA", at positions 524 to 776 of the family's 1533-position model. The record is from RNAcentral.